CUACGGGUCGCACCAGUGAGGAAUAUUGCACAAUGGAGGAAACUCUGAUGCAGCAACGCCGCGUGGAGGAUGACGCAUUUCGGUGUGUAAACUCCUUUUAUAUGUCAAGAAAGUGACGGUAGCAUAUGAAUAAGCACCGGCUAACUCCGUGCCAGCAGCCGCGGUAAUACGGAGGGUGCAAGCGUUACUCGGAAUCACUGGGCGUAAAGGACGCGUAGGCGGGAUAUCAAGUCAGGUGUGAAAUCCUACAGCUUAACUGUAGAACUGCACUUGAAACUGGUAACCUAGAGUAUGGGAGGGGGAGAUGGAAUUAGUGGUGUAGGGGUAAAAUCCGUAGAUAUCACUAGGAAUACCUAAAGCGAAGGCGAUCUCCUGGAACAUAACUGACGCUAAGGCGUGAAAGCGUGGGGAGCAAACAGGAUUAGAUACCCCGGUAGUC
Molecule: ribosomal RNA, 439 nt
Filed under: uncultured bacterium
Lineage: Bacteria
Description: partial 16S ribosomal RNA
Rfam family: Bacterial small subunit ribosomal RNA
Source: RNAcentral